AUUGAACGCUGGCGGCAGGCCUAACACAUGCAAGUCGAACGGUAGCACAGAGAGCUUGCUCUCGGGUGACGAGUGGCGGACGGGUGAGUAAUGUCUGGGAAACUGCCCGAUGGAGGGGGAUAACUACUGGAAACGGUAGCUAAUACCGCAUAACGUCUUCGGACCAAAGUGGGGGACCUUCGGGCCUCACACCAUCGGAUGUGCCCAGAUGGGAUUAGCUAGUAGGUGGGGUAAUGGCUCACCUAGGCGACGAUCCCUAGCUGGUCUGAGAGGAUGACCAGCCACACUGGAACUGAGACACGGUCCAGACUCCUACGGGAGGCAGCAGUGGGGAAUAUUGCACAAUGGGCGCAAGCCUGAUGCAGCCAUGCCGCGUGUAUGAAGAAGGCCUUCGGGUUGUAAAGUACUUUCAGCGGGGAGGAAGGCGGUGAAGUUAAUAGCUUCAUCGAUUGACGUUACCCGCAGAAGAAGCACCGGCUAACUCCGUGCCAGCAGCCGCGGUAA
Molecule: ribosomal RNA, 504 nt
Filed under: uncultured bacterium
Lineage: Bacteria
Description: partial 16S ribosomal RNA
Rfam family: Bacterial small subunit ribosomal RNA
Source: RNAcentral